UACGGAGGGUGCAAGCGUUACUCGGAAUCACUGGGCGUAAAGGACGCGUAGGCUGUUUAGCAAGUCAGAUGUGAAAUCCAAUGGCUCAACCAUUGAACUGCAUUUGAAACUGCUAGACUAGAGUAUGGGAGGGGGAGAUGGAAUUAGUGGUGUAGGGGUAAAAUCCGUAGAUAUCACUAGGAAUACCUAAAGCGAAGGCGAUCUCCUGGAACAUUACUGACGCUAAGGCGUGAAAGCGUGGGGAGCAAACAGG
Molecule: ribosomal RNA, 253 nt
Filed under: uncultured bacterium
Lineage: Bacteria
Also listed under: 1 other name
Description: partial 16S ribosomal RNA
Rfam family: Bacterial small subunit ribosomal RNA
Source: RNAcentral